UUGUGAAAUAAUUUGUGAAUUUCUGCUGUAAUUUUGUUUAUAUAUGUGUACUUUGUGAAAUAAUUAGUGAAUUUGUGAAAAUAAUUUGUGAAUUUGUGCUGUAAUUCUGUCAAUUUAAAAUUUUCCUUCAAUUUUUGUUCUACUGGGAAUUAUGCUAAUGAUUCCGUACAAGGGAAGUCCAGGUUAGUUCAUGAGUAUCAUGACUUCAUUCUCCAUGUCAAUUAAAUGGAGUAAUUUGUCACUAUGAAACUGUUUAAUGAGUUUCUCAAGUGGUUUUGAAGGUGCGUUUUCUGCAAUGAUGUGCUAUUCCACUCAUUCCUUUUACAUCACCCCUUUUAUUGUGUUGAUUUUGGAUAUAAGAAUAUAAAUUUUUUAUGAAAAGAAAAUUUAAAAGAUUUUUGAUAUGUUUAUCUUUAUAAUUAAUUUACUUUAUUUAAAGAUUUUUUUAUCUCAGGAAAAAUGUCUCUGCUUAUUUGCAGAAUUGUAUAUAACAUAGUUCAACUGGUCAACAAAGAUAGUUCUUUGGUAGAGUUUUUAUUAUUUUGACUACUAAUUAUACUGUUAUCUUCUUAUGUGGGAUUAUUUCUUUUGUGAAUUUGUUCAUGUUCAUUUUAAAUCGUUAUCCACUUUGGUUCUAAUCGCAGAUGUUGGCAUGUUGCAAUUUAUAUAUGUUGAUGUUGCAAUGGUAUACUCAGAUUUUUCAAUAGGUGCUUCAUAUAUGGUUUGCUUACUUUUUUCAUUUUUUUUAAUGCAGGUCCUUUAAAAUUGAUAACAGUAAGUACACACAAAAAAAAAUUUCAGAACCAUAUAAGAAUCAAAGAAAAUCAGUAAACCAAUCAUAAAACCAAUCCACAACAAUCAGUAAUGAGUAAUGACAACAUCACUGACAGAAUAUUAGAAAAAAUGAAAAAUCAGUAAACCACAAAUCAGAAUCAAGAUUCAAGAACAUCAUCAACAAUCCUAAACCAAUCAAUGAUAAUACCAAACCACAAUAAUGAUAAUAAGUAAACAACAAUUGAAAAAUCAGAGGUGAGGGACUGGAGGGUUACUGGGCAGCAGAACUCGAUAAUACCAAUCCACAAUAAUGACAAUAAGUCAAUAACAAUUGAAGAAGAUUAGAAGAAAAAUGAAAAAUCAGAGAGGUGAGGGACUAGAGGGUUACUGGGAAGCAGAACUCGAGAAGAGGUGGAGCGUUGCCGAAUUACUGCCAAGGAGUUGUGGAACUGGAGUAGAGAAGGGUUGGAGCACGGUGGAAUAGAGCCGGUGCGGCAGAACAGCAGCUGCGGGACGGAGGAAGGAAGUGAGACGAGUUGUAGUGGGAAUGGUGCCUUCGAGCAGUGGCGGAGACGACCGUGGUGGGGAAGGCGGCUUCGACAGCUGCGAUGGCAGCGGUGACACGGCGGUGGCUGAACGGAGCAAGUGUGGCAGUGACGAAGGAGCUCGAACCUCAGAGAUGCUGCUGCCUGCUGGGUUACCGUUUUGGCUGGGUUCUCUUUUUUUUUUUUUUGAAGGAAUGAAAAGUUGAAAACAGUGUUGUUUUGGUCCAAAAUACAAAAACUGGCCUGAUUCACAUGGUCUUAUAUGUUUUCUCGAUUGCUUGGAUUCAAAGGCAUUUAUUCUCUUUUAUUUUCUAUUAUACGACAUUAAAUCAAUUGUUGUUGACUUAUUGUCAUUAUUGUGGUUUACUGAAUUUUCAUUUUUUCUGAUAUUCUGUCAAUGAUGUUGUCAUUACUCAUUAGAUUGUUGUGGAUUGAUUUAUUGGUUUACUGAUUUUCUUUGAUUCUUACAUGGUUCUGAUCUGUUAAUUUUUUUGGUUGUGUACGAACUGUUAUCCUUGAGAUUAUUGGGUUGCUGUAAUAUUGUUAAUUGUUAUUGGGUUGCUGGUAAUUUUUAAGUAUGAAUGAGAGUAUCAAUCAAAAAGCAUCUAGGGAUAAUAAUGCACCUACUGAGAACAAUUUGGCUUCUAAUCUCUUGUUAGGUUGUUGUAUGUUUGUCCAAUUGUUGAUUUGAAUAAUUAUUCUGAUCUAAAUUCAUGUUAUUGAUCUUGUUAAUUUAGUAAUUUGAUAAAUUGUUGUUGAAGUGCUCUGUGAUUGUUAGGUUGUUGUAUUUUUAUCUAAUUGUUAAUUUGAACAAUUAUUCUAUCUUAGUUCAUGUUCUUGAUCUUGUCUAGUAAUUUGAUAAAUUGUUUCUGAGGUGUUGUUCUUUGAUCCUGUGAUUGCUAGGUGGCUGUAUUUUUGCCAAUUAUUAAUUUGAAUAAUUAUUCUAAUUUGAGUUCAUGUUCUUGAAUUUGUUAAUUUGAUAAAUUAUUGUUGUUGUGGUGCUAUUUUUGAUCUUGUGAUUGUUAAUUUGUAUAAUUGUUAUUUUUAAUGAGAUAUUGUGGUUGAUAUAGUACUUUUAAUUUGAAUGAUAUUUUAAAGUUUAUAUUAGAUUAUAGUUAUGUUUUAAUGUGUUUAUUUAUAUUUUAUUUAUUACUAUAACAUGGUUUUUUCAGUUGAACCAAUUAAUUAAUAAUCAGAGCAGUUCGAUGAUCGGUUUGGUUUUCUAAACCUUGAUCUUUAAAAAUCAUUUUGGAACUAAUUGACAUGAAAUAUAUAAGCAUGGUUCUGAAGUCACCAAAAAAAAAUAUAAGCAUGGUUCUGAAAACCAAUUUGAAUCGGUUGAUCAAACCGUGAGCCGAUCGCAAAUUUGGUUAGGUCCAUAGUAAAAAACCAUCAAGUUUAAAAAUCAAUUUGAGAAUUGGAAUAUCAAUCGAGAACUAGUGAGUCAAUUGAAUCGGGACCCCGAUCGGUUUUGAAGCUAGAACCAAAAUAACGUCGUUUUGGAUUCAAAAAAAAUA
This is a non-coding RNA of Arachis ipaensis, 2836 nucleotides long. NCBI's taxonomy places the organism in Eukaryota, Viridiplantae, Streptophyta, Magnoliopsida, Fabales, Fabaceae. The record is from RefSeq and is a predicted model, not a curated record.